Molecule: small RNA, 562 nt
Filed under: Pongo abelii (Sumatran orangutan)
Lineage: Eukaryota; Metazoa; Chordata; Mammalia; Primates; Hominidae
Description: retained intron
Source: RNAcentral
ACUGAUGCACAUCGAAGGCUUCCUGGCAGCUCUCACUGCGGCCAACCAGGACGGCAGGGUCAUCCUGAGCCGCCAAGGCAGCCUCAGUCAGAGCACCCUGAAAUUUCUGCUCCUGAAUCCAGCUGUGCACUUUGCCCAAGUGGUGAAGGAAUGCCGGGCAGUGGUCAUUGCGGGGGGGACCAUGCAGCCGAUAUUCCAGGAACCUAAGAGCGCACACCAGGUGGAGCAGGUGCUGGUGGCGUAUUCCAGGUGCAUCCAGGCCUGUGGCCAGGAGAGAGGCCGGGUGACAGGGGCCCUGCUCCUCUCUGUGGUUGGAGGAAAGAUGAGUGAAGGGAUCAACUUCUCUGACAACCUAGGCCGGUAAGUAAUGGUUCUGCUCAUCUCCUGGGCCAUGCUACAUGGCCGGCCCUCACUCUCAGCAGCUGGGCCCCUGCCUGCCGUCUGCUGCCAUUAGAGCCCACAGCUGGGCUGCGACUGCUCAGACCAGCCAGCUGGAGGGAGGGGCUCAGCAGCUCUGGGUUUGGCCCUGGGAGAGCAGUUGGAUUUUAGGCUGGCCAUUGCU